ACGCUCGACACCUACGGGAUGCAGCAGUCGGGAAUAUUGCGCAAUGGAGGAAACUCUGACGCAGUGACGCCGCGUAUGGGAAGAAGGUUUUCGGAUUGUAAACCAUUUUAGACAAGGAAGAAACAAGACAGUACUUGUAGAAUAAGCUCCGGCUAACUACGUGCCAGCAGCCGCGGUAAUCUGAGCGGGCUGGCAAGGC
Molecule: ribosomal RNA, 199 nt
Filed under: uncultured bacterium
Lineage: Bacteria
Description: partial 16S ribosomal RNA
Rfam family: Bacterial small subunit ribosomal RNA
Source: RNAcentral